UACGUAGGGGGCUAGCGUUGUCCGGAAUCAUUGGGCGUAAAGCGCGUGUAGGCGGUCCGGUAAGUCCGCUGUGAAAGUCGGGGGCUCAACCCUCGGAUGCCGGUGGAUACUGUCGGGCUUGAGUACGGAAGAGGCGAGUGGAAUUCCUGGUGUAGCGGUGAAAUGCGCAGAUAUCAGGAGGAACACCAAUUGCGAAGGCAGCUCGCUGGACGUUACUGACGCUGAGACGCGAAAGCGUGGGGAGCAAACAGG
This 252-nucleotide ribosomal RNA is filed under the name uncultured bacterium. Its description in RNAcentral is "partial 16S ribosomal RNA". It matches the Rfam family "Bacterial small subunit ribosomal RNA", at positions 524 to 776 of the family's 1533-position model. The record is from RNAcentral.